Molecule: ribosomal RNA, 566 nt
Filed under: uncultured bacterium
Lineage: Bacteria
Description: partial 16S ribosomal RNA
Rfam family: Bacterial small subunit ribosomal RNA
Source: RNAcentral
UGGGGAACUUUACACAAUGGGCGAAAGCCUGAUGUAGCAACGCCGCGUGGAGGAUGACGGAUCUAGGUCUGUAAACUCCUUUUAUAAGGGAAGAAAUUUGACGGUACCUUAUGAAUAAGCACCGGCUAACUCCGUGCCAGCAGCCGCGGUAAUACGGGGGGUGCAAGCGUUACUCGGAAUCACUGGGCGUAAAGGGAGCGUAGGCGUUUUAUUAAGUCUUGAGUGAAAGCUCGCAGCUCAACCGCGGAACUGCUCAGGAAACUGAUAGAAUUGAGUAUGGAAGAGGUAGGUGGAAUUUCCGGUGUAGGGGUAAAAAUCCGUAGAUAUCGGAAGGAAUACCAGAAGCGAAGGCGACCUACUGGGACAUUACUGACGCUGAGGCUCGAAAGCGUGGGGAGCAAACAGGAUUAGAUACCCUGGUAGUCCACGCCCUAAACGAUGAACACUAGUCGUUACGGAGCUAGUCUCUGUAGUGACGCAGCUAACGCAUUAAGUGUUCCGCCUGGGGGAGUACGGUCGCAAGAUUAAAAACUUAAAGGAAUUGACGGGGGUCAAUAGCUGUUUCC